Molecule: unclassified non-coding RNA, 431 nt
Filed under: soil metagenome
Description: partial contains 5.8S ribosomal RNA, internal transcribed spacer 2, and large subunit ribosomal RNA
Rfam family: 5.8S ribosomal RNA (bases 1-120)
Source: RNAcentral
GAUGAAGAACGCAGCGAAAUGCGAUACGUAAUGUGAAUUGCAGAAUUCAGUGAAUCAUCGAAUCUUUGAACGCAUAUUGCGCUCUCUGGUAUUCCGGAGAGCAUGCUUGUUUGAGUAUCAGUAAACACCUCAACUUCCAUAUCUUUUUUGAAAUGGGAGUUGGACUUGAGUGAUCUCAACGCUUUUCCUCACCGAAAAGUGGCGGGUUACUUGAAAUGCAGGUGCAGCUGGACUUUUCUCUGAGCAAUAAGCAUAUCUAUUUAGUCUGCCUAAAAACAGAUUAUUACCUUUGCUGCAGCUAACAUAAAGGAGAUUAGUUCUUGUGCUGACUGAUGCAGGAUUCACAAAGACAGGCUUCGGCCGACUUUGUAAACUCGAUCUCAAAUCAAGUAAGACUACCCGCUGAACUUAAGCAUAUCAAUAGCGGAGGA